CAUUGAUAAUUAGUUUAAACCAAAAUAAAUGAUUUCGACUCAUUAGAUUAUGUAUUUUCAUAAUUAUCAU
This 70-nucleotide transfer RNA is filed under the name Lepilemur leucopus (white-footed sportive lemur). RNAcentral describes it as "tRNA-Arg". Lineage: Eukaryota; Metazoa; Chordata; Mammalia; Primates; Lepilemuridae. The record is from RNAcentral.